GCCCGGUUAGCUCAAUCGGUAGAGCGUGAGACUCUUAAUCUCAAGGUUGCGGGUAAGUUGAUUUUCAAAAAAUCAAAAAUUCUUGCUCGCAUUUGACUAACAAAUCGACAUAGGUUCGACCCCCGCAUUGGGCU
This is a non-coding RNA of Poronia punctata, 134 nucleotides long. The record is from the annotation of a GenBank genome assembly. Lineage: Eukaryota; Fungi; Ascomycota; Sordariomycetes; Xylariales; Xylariaceae.